CCCUUAGAUGUCCUGGGCUGCACGCGCGCUACACUGAUGUGUCCAGUAAGCACCUAACCUAUUCCGAGAGGAGCGGGUAACCUUAGCAAAGCACAUCGUGAUGGGGAUAGAUUAUUGCAAUUAUUAGCCUUGAACGAGGAAUUCCUAGUAAGCACAAGUCAUCAGCUUGUGUUGAUUACGUCCCUGCCCUUUGUACACACCGCCCGUCGCUCCUACCGAUUGAAUGUUCCGGUGAGCUCUUCGGACUGCGCGGUCUGCAGUUUCUGCGUUCCGUGCGGAAAGUUGUGCAAACCUUAACAUUUAGAGGAAGGAGAAGUCGUAACA
This 324-nucleotide ribosomal RNA is filed under the name uncultured eukaryote. Its description in RNAcentral is "partial 18S ribosomal RNA". It matches the Rfam family "Eukaryotic small subunit ribosomal RNA", at positions 1470 to 1796 of the family's 1831-position model. The record is from RNAcentral.